Molecule: RNA transcript, 1407 nt
Organism: Eptesicus fuscus (big brown bat)
Lineage: Eukaryota; Metazoa; Chordata; Mammalia; Chiroptera; Vespertilionidae
Gene: RHNO1
Gene name: RAD9-HUS1-RAD1 interacting nuclear orphan 1
Exons: 5
Source: RefSeq, a predicted model, not a curated record
GCGGCUGGGGGAUCAGCGGCCCGGACGCCUCCCGGCGGGUCUUUGCUCAAAUAUCGUUUUUUCAGAUAAGUUUUCCCUGACAGCCCAGUCUAAAGUAACACCCAGUCAGCUCAAUCCCUUAUCCUGUUUGAUUUUUCGCCAUACCUCUUAUCACUUCCAACUAAGAUGCAUGGGUUGGAAUUGGAGCCUCUCCUGGUACCUGACUACACCCAGCACCAUGUGGCUACUAACCGCUCUUCAAUCACCUGUUGAUGCCUCCCAGAAAAAAACGCCGCCAAACAUCCCAGAAAGCCCAGCUGCUAUUCCACCAACAGCCCCUGGAGGGCCCCAAACACUGCUAUAGAUCGCCACCGCUUCCCAUCACCCACACUAGACAGGUGCCCAGCAAGCCCAUUGACCACAACACCAUCACUUCCUGGGUAUCACCUCAGUUUGAUACAACACCAGAAAGCUGGUUCCCAGCCAACAGGAAAGGGAAACAUCAUCACCGAGACCAGGCAAGACAUUCAAAUCGAAAAUCUGUCACCUCCAAGUUUCCACAUCUAACAUUUGAGAGUCUACAGUCUUCUUCCAGUUCAGCCACACUUGGAGGCCCCUUAAUCCAGCAGUGCCCCAAUCAUUCAGUAAAGGACAUUUCCGAAACGCCCUUAGUUCCAAUGCUCAGUCCCCCAAGCUGUGGGGAAAUGUCAGCACAUGCACUUCAAGACUUGCCUUAUAUGUUCAUUGCACCUGAUAUCCAGACCCCAGAGUCAUCUUCUGUGAAGCAGGGGCUGCUUCCCCCAGAUCAGAAGGAAAACAGCCUGCCAAGCUGCUCCCUUCACUCUAGCACUCCUGAGAGCCCAGAGCCUGGGCCUGUUCUGGUUAAAGACACCCCUGAGGAGAAGUAUGGGGUGAAGGUCACGUGGAGGAGACGACGGCACCUGUUCACUUACCUCAGGGAGAGAGGGAAGCUCAGCAAAAGCCAGUUCCUUGUGAAAAACUGACUGGAUUUCUGAUAUCAGUAAUCUCAAGAAAUUGAUUGCUGUUGUUCAUAGAGUUGCUAAAGUUCCUUUUCUGACUUACAGAAGAGUUCAUCAAUAGAAUAAAAUGGAAAUAAUACCAAUAACAUCAAGAAAAAAGUUUCAGAUUGUGGAGUCAUCCAAGUAGAAGACAGAUGAGCCUAGAAUACUAACGUUUCUCCUCAGAUGAGGAAGAAUGGAUUUCAAAGGAGUCUUUCUCUGGCAGUUCUAAUUUGAUUUUUGCGUGCUUUUCCUCAGAAGAAAUGUUUUGUUCCAACCAGAGGUGUUCUCGGUGUCUCAUUUAGGAAUUGGACAAGGUGAAUCUACUUGUCAGUUAACUUAGGGACAGUUACUUCAUUAAUAGCUAUUGCUCCCAUGGACACAAUGAAACCUGAGGACUUUCUCACCA